GAUGAACGCUGGCGGCGUGCCUAAUACAUGCAAGUCGAACGCUUUGUCUUUAAUUGAUAUGAAGAGCUUGCUCUGAUUUGAUUUUAUCUGACAAAGAGUGGCGAACGGGUGAGUAACACGUGGGUAACCUACCUCUUAGCAGGGGAUAACAUUUGGAAACCAGUGCUAAUACCGUAUAACACUAACAACCGCAUGGUUGUUAGUUGAAAGAUGGUUCUGCUAUCACUAAGAGAUGGACCCGCGGUGCAUUAGCUAGUUGGUAAGGUAAUGGCUUACCAAGGCGAUGAUGCGUAGCCGAGUUGAGAGACUGAUCGGCCACAAUGGGACUGAGACACGGCCCAUACUCCUACGGGAGGCAGCAGUAGGGAAUCUUCCACAAUGGGCGCAAGCCUGAUGGAGCAACGCCGCGUGUGUGAUGAAGGGUUUCGGCUCGUAAAACACUGUUAUAAGAGAAGAACGACAUUGAGAGUAACUGUUCAGUGUGUGACGGUAUCUUAUCAGAAAGGAACGGCUAAAUACGUG
RNAcentral lists this ribosomal RNA (522 nucleotides) under uncultured bacterium. Its description in RNAcentral is "partial 16S ribosomal RNA". It matches the Rfam family "Bacterial small subunit ribosomal RNA", at positions 28 to 507 of the family's 1533-position model. The record is from RNAcentral.